AUAGCCUGUGUGUGCCAGUUUCUACAAACUUGUUUAUUUUCUUGGCAGAAAAAAAAAAUGUUUAUUUUAUUCAAGCUCCCAAAGUCAGAACGAGCUUGCCUAGACCUGCUGAAUUGGUUCUGUUCAUAAACUUCUGGUAAAAGUUCACUUUAUUUUCUCUAGCCAUGCUUCUCUUUUUCUGUUUGACUGGAAAGAUUCUCUCUUAGGUUUGAAGAAUUCAUGUCCCCCACUGGAGCUCUAGCUGACUGCUGUGGCCUGCUCUGAAGUUGACCUCAGAGUUAGCAAUGCAUUCUGAGCACCCUGUCUUUUACUGUGAGACACACUUCCUGUUUUAAGGAUUUUACAGUUUGGCAGAGAGAUAAGAGAAGUGAACGGCCAUCAGAAUACAAUACAUUAAAUGUCAAGAACAAGAAAAAUGAACUGCUGUGCAAUGGAAAUUCAGAAGUGAGAGAAUUGUUUUCCUGCCCAUUUCUUUGUGUCCAAAAUCCCAUUUGGAAUUGAAGUAUGUAUUUUGUAUUACUAUGCAGUCAUUUCUUCAUACAAAAAUCUUAAUUUGAUGGGAUUUAACCUCUAUUUUUUGGUCAUUUGGGAUUUCAUGGAGUCUGGAAUGAAGGACACAGUUAAUUUGCAUCUUCAUGCAAUAACUAUUCUUAAAAAAAAAUAAAAAAACCUUGAACAAAAUAAAGUUUAUAUGUUUCUCAUGCAAGAGCCCAGAGGAAGCAUGGUUGUCUAGACGAGGCAGGUUUAUUAGACAGGGUUUCCCCAGGUGUCUUUUCUCCUGUACCUCAUCAUUUCUAAGAGUUUCUGGAUAAUAACUCUUAAGAUGAUAUUAAAGGGAAAAAAGACAGAUUUUUGACUCACUAAAUAUCUAUGAGUGUACUUGAUAUUAAAGGC
Molecule: long non-coding RNA, 894 nt
Filed under: Capra hircus (goat)
Lineage: Eukaryota; Metazoa; Chordata; Mammalia; Artiodactyla; Bovidae
Description: lncRNA (ENSCHIG00000003805.1)
Source: RNAcentral